RNAcentral lists this ribosomal RNA (1495 nucleotides) under uncultured bacterium. RNAcentral describes it as "16S ribosomal RNA". It matches the Rfam family "Bacterial small subunit ribosomal RNA". The record is from RNAcentral.
GGAUGAACGCUGGCGGCGUGCCUAAUACAUGCAAGUCGAGCGAACGGACGAGAAGCUUGCUUCUCUGAUGUUAGCGGCGGACGGGUGAGUAACACGUGGAUAACCUACCUAUAAGACUGGGAUAACUUCGGGAAACCGGAGCUAAUACCGGAUAAUAUUUUGAACCGCAUGGUUCAAAAGUAAAAGACGGUCUUGCUGUCACUUAUAGAUGGAUCCGCGCUGCAUUAGCUAGUUGGUAAGGUAACGGCUUACCAAGGCAACGAUGCAUAGCCGACCUGAGAGGGUGAUCGGCCACACUGGAACUGAGACACGGUCCAGACUCCUACGGGAGGCAGCAGUAGGGAAUCUUCCGCAAUGGGCGAAAGCCUGACGGAGCAACGCCGCGUGAGUGAUGAAGGUCUUCGGAUCGUAAAACUCUGUUAUUAGGGAAGAACAUAUGUGUAAGUAACUGUGCACAUCUUGACGGUACCUAAUCAGAAAGCCACGGCUAACUACGUGCCAGCAGCCGCGGUAAUACGUAGGUGGCAAGCGUUAUCCGGAAUUAUUGGGCGUAAAGCGCGCGUAGGCGGUUUUUUAAGUCUGAUGUGAAAGCCCACGGCUCAACCGUGGAGGGUCAUUGGAAACUGGAAAACUUGAGUGCAGAAGAGGAAAGUGGAAUUCCAUGUGUAGCGGUGAAAUGCGCAGAGAUAUGGAGGAACACCAGUGGCGAAGGCGACUUUCUGGUCUGUAACUGACGCUGAUGUGCGAAAGCGUGGGGAUCAAACAGGAUUAGAUACCCUGGUAGUCCACGCCGUAAACGAUGAGUGCUAAGUGUUAGGGGGGUUUCCGCCCCUUAGUGCUGCAGCUAACGCAUUAAGCACUCCGCCUGGGGAGUACGACCGCAAGGUUGAAACUCAAAGGAAUUGACGGGGACCCGCACAAGCGGUGGAGCAUGUGGUUUAAUUCGAAGCAACGCGAAGAACCUUACCAAAUCUUGACAUCCUUUGACAACUCUAGAGAUAGAGCCUUCCCCUUCGGGGGACAAAGUGACAGGUGGUGCAUGGUUGUCGUCAGCUCGUGUCGUGAGAUGUUGGGUUAAGUCCCGCAACGAGCGCAACCCUUAAGCUUAGUUGCCAUCAUUAAGUUGGGCACUCUAAGUUGACUGCCGGUGACAAACCGGAGGAAGGUGGGGAUGACGUCAAAUCAUCAUGCCCCUUAUGAUUUGGGCUACACACGUGCUACAAUGGACAAUACAAAGGGCAGCGAAACCGCGAGGUCAAGCAAAUCCCAUAAAGUUGUUCUCAGUUCGGAUUGUAGUCUGCAACUCGACUACAUGAAGCUGGAAUCGCUAGUAAUCGUAGAUCAGCAUGCUACGGUGAAUACGUUCCCGGGUCUUGUACACACCGCCCGUCACACCACGAGAGUUUGUAACACCCGAAGCCGGUGGAGUAACCUUUUAGGAGCUAACCGUCGAAGGUGGGACAAAUGAUUGGGGUGAAGUCGUAACAAGGUAACC